UCACCAUAGGGAUCAGCAGCAGCUGUAUUGUUCGGUCGUGGGUGGCCUGUAGGUGGCGCUGCAGCUGGCACGAUAUGUACUGUACAGGAGCAAGUGGACGAAAGAGGCGACAAAAAAGCUCGCUAGGAAGUGCAUCUGCAGCAGCUAACUAACCCUGUCCCCGCAAUAUGGCUGCAGUGCUUUGCUGGGGUUACUGCUGAGCCUAGUUCCCCUUCGCCGAAAGGACCUUUUCGUCCCCUAGUGGUCGGAUCCUGCACAUGCAGAGAGGCAUUAGCAAGUACGCCAGAGAAGCACCACAGACACGCCACAGCCAACUGAUGAAGAUGGUGGGAAUGCAGGUUCUUCUUCUGCAAGCCGCCCUCCUCUAAGGCGCCCAUCACAGGGCUCUGUGAGUUUACCUAGGAGGCCCAGUAAGACACGUCGUGUGGAGUCUGAGUCUGCAGCUCCAUCUUCACCACCCAGGCGGCGCAUCUCCGCAGUGUUGGACCAGCCACCACAGGCAAUUUUGGCAAGUCCACAAAGUGAUGAGCCACGAUCACCUCAGCUGUCUGAACCAACCAUCAUGGGCGAUGACGAUCAGCAGGAACCUGAACAACAGCCAACCUUUACACUGCACCUUACGCCCGUUGAUCCUACCCAGCCAACCCAGCAGCAGGAUAUGCCCCAAGCCUCCCUAAGCCCCCAAUUGAUCCCAACUCCACCCCAGCAACAAAUGUCCCAAGACUUUUGGACCAGUUGGGCCACACAACAGGCCCAAAACACUGCCUACCUGAACACACACACACAACACCUUGCCAGUCUGCCUUCAUCAUCUUCCGCGCAUUAGUCGGAACUCGGGCAGACUGAUUGUUCAGGUAGGCAGAAUCGCUACUUCAAUGGAGCAAAUCAGGGCGGACAACACGCAAAUGCUUGCCAAUUUAACGUGAAUCAUCGAUGAGCAACAGCGGCAGCAACAAGCCCUAAUACAAGUCAUCCAGCACAACCAGGUAGUGAAUGAAACUUUGUCUCGGAAUGUGGCCAGCAACACUGCCACAAAUAAUCAGCUGAAUGCCAGUAUUCACAACCUCAGCCAAAGCAUUACUGUGCUGGCAGCACAACAAGUCAGCUCCAGCUCCAGAACCACUACCCCUAGCCAGACCCCAGUUACCUCCCCUGUUCGACGCUCAAGCAGAACACGAGCCCACGACCCUGGUCAAACCUCUGCACCCAGCACACAAAAACAAAAAAAAUUAUUAAUACAUGAAAUUUGUGUAACACAAUAAAAUUGAUAAUAUUGUAUUCACUAAAAA
This is a long non-coding RNA of Pseudophryne corroboree (corroboree frog), 1289 nucleotides long. RefSeq lists it as uncharacterized. The record is from RefSeq and is a predicted model, not a curated record. The transcript is spliced from 4 exons. NCBI's taxonomy places the organism in Eukaryota, Metazoa, Chordata, Amphibia, Anura, Myobatrachidae.